GACGAACCGGCCAAACGUUAUUCGGAAUCAAUGGGCUUAAAGGGUGCGUAGGCGGCCUGGAAAGUUGGGUGUGAAAGCCCUCGGCUCAACCGAGGAAUUGCGCCCAAAACUACCCGGCUCGAGGGAGACAGAGGUGAGCUGAACUCAGGGUGGAGAGGUGAAAUGCGUUGAUAUCCUGGGGAACACCAGUAGCGAAAGCGGCUCACUGGGUCGCUUCUGACGCUGAGGCACGAAAGCUAGGGUAGCGAACGGG
RNAcentral lists this ribosomal RNA (253 nucleotides) under uncultured bacterium. RNAcentral's name for it is "partial 16S ribosomal RNA". It matches the Rfam family "Bacterial small subunit ribosomal RNA", at positions 524 to 776 of the family's 1533-position model. The record is from RNAcentral.